AACGCGAAGAACCUUACCCGGCCUUGACAUCUAUGGAAUUCCUCAGAGAUGAGGAAGUGCCUUCGGGAACCAUAAGACAGGUGCUGCAUGGCUGUCGUCAGCUCGUGUCGUGAGAUGUUGGGUUAAGUCCCGCAACGAGCGCAACCCUUGUCCUUAGUUGCCAUCAUUAAGUUGGGAACUCUAAGGAGACCGCCGGUGACAAACCGGAGGAAGGUGGGGAUGACGUCAAGUCAUCAUGGCCUUUAUGGCCGGGGCUACACACGUGCUACAAUGGCAGGUACAGAGGGAAGCCAACUCGCGAGAGGGAGCCAAUCCCAGAAAGCCUGUCGUAGUCCGGAUCGGAGUCUGCAACUCGACUCUGUGAAGUCGGAAUCGCUAGUAAUCGCAGAUCAGCAUUGCUGCGGUGAAUACGUUCCCGGGCCUUGUA
This 427-nucleotide ribosomal RNA is filed under the name uncultured Gammaproteobacteria bacterium. RNAcentral describes it as "bacterial SSU rRNA". It matches the Rfam family "Bacterial small subunit ribosomal RNA", at positions 958 to 1385 of the family's 1533-position model. The record is from RNAcentral. Lineage: Bacteria; Pseudomonadati; Pseudomonadota; Gammaproteobacteria.